Molecule: ribosomal RNA, 468 nt
Filed under: uncultured bacterium
Lineage: Bacteria
Description: partial 16S ribosomal RNA
Rfam family: Bacterial small subunit ribosomal RNA
Source: RNAcentral
GACGAACGCUGGCGGCGUGCUUAACACAUGCAAGUCGAACGGAAAGGCCCUGCUUUUGUGGGGUGCUCGAGUGGCGAACGGGUGAGUAACACGUGAGUAACCUGCCCUUGACUUUGGGAUAACUUCAGGAAACUGGGGCUAAUACCGGAUAGGAGCUCCUGCUGCAUGGUGGGGGUUGGAAAGUUUCGGCGGUUGGGGAUGGACUCGCGGCUUAUCAGCUUGUUGGUGGGGUAGUGGCUUACCAAGGGUUUGACGGGUAGCCGGCCUGGGAGGGUGACCGGGCACAUUGGGACUGAGAUACGGACCAGACUGCUACGGGAGGCAGCAGUGGGGAAUAUUGCACAAUGGGCGGAAGCCUGAUGCAGCAACGCCGCGUGCGGGAUGACGGCCUUCGGGUUGUAAACCGCUUUCGCCUGUGACGAAGCGUGAGUGACGGUAAUUGGUAAAGAAGCACCGGCUAACUACGUG